GAAAAGGGGGCGCGCGGCGGGGUUUUUUAAUUUUGUAUGGGAAAACCCCCCGGCCCCACCCGGGGGGGGGCCUUGGAAAACGGGGGACUUGAGGCCAAAAGAGGGGGAGGGAAAUCCCCCGGGUAGCGGGGAAAAAGCGUAGAGAUGGGGGGGACACACCAGUGGGGAAGGGGGGCCCCUCUGGGUCUAUAAAAAACCCCAAGGAGCGAAAAAGCGGGGGGAGAAACAGAGAUAAGAUACCCCUGUGGGUCCCCCCCCCUAAAACGAGAAGAGCGUAUAAGCUAGGGGGGGUUCCCCCCCCUAUUGCGCCGGAGAUAGCCGCAAAAAGCCCCCCCCCGGGGGGAGGGGGGCCAAAAGGGAGAACCAAAAAAGAAUUGGGGGGGCCCCGCACAAGCGGUGGAGCAUGUGGUAUAAUUAGAAGCAACGCGAAGACCCUCACCAGGUGUUGACAUCCUGGGACAAUCCUAGAGAUAGGACGUCCCCUUCGGGGGCAGAGAGACAGGUGGUGCAUGGUUGUCGUCAGCUCGUGUCGAGAGAUGUGGGGUUAAGUCCCGCAACGAGCGCAACCCUUGAUUUUAGUUGCCAGCAUUCAGUUGGGCACUCUAAGGAGACUGCCGGUGACAAACCGGAGGAAGGUGGGGAAGACGUCAAAUCAUCAU
RNAcentral lists this ribosomal RNA (659 nucleotides) under Bacillus subtilis. RNAcentral describes it as "partial 16S ribosomal RNA". It matches the Rfam family "Bacterial small subunit ribosomal RNA", at positions 547 to 1196 of the family's 1533-position model. Lineage: Bacteria; Bacillati; Bacillota; Bacilli; Caryophanales; Bacillaceae. The record is from RNAcentral.